AUGCUGCUACAGGAGGGAGAGGCUACCAAAAUAAUUAUGCUAACAGAGGGGAGAAUUUUUCAGAGAAGUGGGCAAGACAGAGAUAUCUCUUAUCCAAGAAAUGCUGUAGAUGGUGGGAGAAUGGCAGUGGGUGGAAGCACAAACAGCAUAUGCAACAAAUGCAAGAACACUGGUCAUGCCACUAUGGAUUGUAUGCUGGGACACUGUGUGAUUUGUGGAAAGAAAACUCACACCACUGAUGAUUGCAAUUGGCUGAAGCAGAUGAAACCAGUUCCUAAGUAUGUUGGCUAUGCUGCAAAAGGGUUGUGUGUGUUGUUAGUCCAAAGUUCUAAAGAAAUUCUGGAAGUGGAAAAUCCCAACCCCAUGGCUCUGGUGACCGUGGUUUCAGGAGAGGUGAAUAAGACUCAGUUAAUUGAUAGAAUGCACUACAUGUUUAAUUGGAACUAG
RNAcentral lists this ribosomal RNA (447 nucleotides) under Triticum aestivum (bread wheat). Its description in RNAcentral is "partial small subunit ribosomal RNA". Lineage: Eukaryota; Viridiplantae; Streptophyta; Magnoliopsida; Poales; Poaceae. The record is from RNAcentral.